This is a long non-coding RNA of Phycodurus eques (leafy seadragon), 476 nucleotides long. RefSeq lists it as uncharacterized. NCBI's taxonomy places the organism in Eukaryota, Metazoa, Chordata, Actinopteri, Syngnathiformes, Syngnathidae. The transcript is spliced from 3 exons. The record is from RefSeq and is a predicted model, not a curated record.
GUAAGUCAUAAUAUUUACGCAGCACUCGCCCGGGGAGUGACGUGGAAGCUCUGCCGUUCUCUGAGCGCAGAACCUCGGGUGGAGACCACGGAUCGACUCCUCAAUUGUAGACACACUGGGACCUUAAGAAUGAGCCAGAAAAAAAAGCUCUGUCCCACACAACGCACGGGAGCCAUUGAAUGUUGCCCCACCCUGCGGCUGCGCACGCCUCCCGUGCAGGGCCGGUCCGUCACAAUGUUUCUGAUGCUGUCUGAGCCAUCAAUAAUAGGAGCUGAGACAUAAACCACAGCGGCCAGGGCAUGAGCAGAGCCUUGGUGGCCCGCCAUUGCAGACUGGAGUGGGCAGGCGUGCGGCUUUGGCCGCAGGAAGCUGUGAAUUCUUCGGAGAAUGGAAGAUGUCUUACAGGGAGACAUACGAGGCCCGCCCACGCCCAUUCGUUACCCCAAGAUGACCCCUGACCCAUCCGUAUGUUUAUA